GGUGGAGUAGUUCAGUUGGUUAGAACAAUGGAAUCAUAAUCCAUAUGUCGGGGGUUCAAGUCCCUCUUCCACUA
Molecule: transfer RNA, 74 nt
Filed under: Palpitomonas bilix
Lineage: Eukaryota
Description: tRNA-Met
Rfam family: tRNA
About the family: Transfer RNA (tRNA) molecules are approximately 80 nucleotides in length. Their secondary structure includes four short double-helical elements and three loops (D, anti-codon, and T loops).
Source: RNAcentral